GCACAACGCGAAGAACCUUACCUAGGCUUGACAUGCAUCUCUAAGCGCGUGAAAGCGCGUGACCCUUCGGGGGAUUUGCACAGGUGCUGCAUGGCCGUCGUCAGCUCGUGUCGUGAGAUGUUGGGUUAAGUCCCGCAACGAGCGCAACCCUUGUGAACAGUUGCCAGCACUUAAGGUGGGAACUCUGUUCAGACUGCCCAGAUCAACUGGGAGGAAGGUGGGGACGACGUCAGGUCAGUAUGGCCCUUACGCCUAGGGCUGCACACGUACUACAAUGCCCAGCACAAUGAGAACCGAGACCGCGAGGUGGAGGAAAUCUAAAAAACUGGGCCCAGUUCGGAUUGGAGGCUGCAACUCGCCUCCAUGAAGUUGGAAUCGCUAGUAAUGGCGCAUCAGCUACGGCGCCGUGAAUACGUUCCCGGGUCUUGUACACACCG
This 437-nucleotide ribosomal RNA is filed under the name uncultured bacterium. Its description in RNAcentral is "bacterial SSU rRNA". It matches the Rfam family "Bacterial small subunit ribosomal RNA", at positions 954 to 1392 of the family's 1533-position model. The record is from RNAcentral.